This 492-nucleotide ribosomal RNA is filed under the name Triticum aestivum (bread wheat). RNAcentral describes it as "partial small subunit ribosomal RNA". Lineage: Eukaryota; Viridiplantae; Streptophyta; Magnoliopsida; Poales; Poaceae. The record is from RNAcentral.
AUGUUUGUGGGGCGCCUCCUUGCUCACGAAAGUUUGGCAAACAGGAUGAAGAUUCAGAGGUUGGGGGUGGAACUAGACACGGCCUGCCCGGUGUGUCAUCGGUUGAAUGAAGACGGCGGCCACAUUUUCCUCAAAUGUAAGAAGGUAAAAGAAUGUCGGAGCAGGCUGGCGUUGGGUGGUCUUAGGGAAAUCUUGGUUAAGCACAAGUCUGCCCAUGAGAUGCUUGGUGAAUUGUGGAAAGCUGAUAGUGCCUCCCAGCUGAGGGCUCUUGUCUUGUGUGGGAGUGGUGGGAUGUCAGGAAGAAAGCCAACACAGGGGAGCCAGUUUCUAGUCCUCAGAGAUGAUUUUGCUGCUGCUGGCGCAGGAACAUCUGUGCACCUGAGAGAUUUACUUCAUUCUGAAGCAGUGGUGUGCCUUGCUGCUAUUGAUGGGGCUAUCAGACUUGGCGCAAACCGAAUUAUUUUCGAGAGUCUGAUGCUCCCAAUUUUGUGA